ACAAAUGCUAAUGACCAACUAAUAUACAGUGAGGGAAACAACAACUAGAACUAGUUGCUAAUAUCCUGUAAGCUAAGGAGAAAAAGAAGAAAUUCGACCGAGGAGGGUUUACGUCUGAUUAGCUAGUUAUUGAGGCAAUAGUUUAUCAAGACAAUGAUCAAUAGCUGGUCCGAGAGGAUGAUUAGCCAUAUUAGAACUGAGACAAGGCUCGGACUCCUAUAGGAG
This 225-nucleotide non-coding RNA is filed under the name Ricinus communis (castor bean). RNAcentral's name for it is "Bacterial small subunit ribosomal RNA". It matches the Rfam family "Bacterial small subunit ribosomal RNA", at positions 102 to 347 of the family's 1533-position model. The record is from Rfam by way of RNAcentral. Lineage: Eukaryota; Viridiplantae; Streptophyta; Magnoliopsida; Malpighiales; Euphorbiaceae.